GCGCAGCCACAGAGCCACUAUGCUGCAUCGUCUGUUAAAAAAGUUAAAGUACCUCUUAGCCUUAGGAACUGCAGUUACGUUUUGUUACAUUUUGCCUCAUGCACGAUUUAUUGCGAUGGAGAGCUAUAUUCCUGAUUGAAAUAGUGGGAAUCCGUAUCGAGGAGGUCAGCUUUGAUUUGGUGUUUGCAUAUAUCAGAAAAAAGACCCAUUCCUAGUACGUAAAUAAACUUAGAAGGAUGGGAAACGUGAACACAGGAGUGAAGUUCGCUGCUUUUUAUAAUGAAAAUGUAAAUCUCCAGCCUAGUCCAAAGUUUCUCUCUAUAUUCGCUGCUUUGAUAUAUUUAAAUAAGUCUUAAAAGUUUUAUACCUGGCACACCUAGGUCCCAGUCUUGUACUACAUCCACGUUUUUUUCUCGCGCUUGCUUCAGAUGACGACUGAGACUAUAGGCUGGUAAAUCCCCAAUUCAAAUUAGCCACAACCGAGGCCCUGGGACCGAGGAUGAGCCACAACCUGUUCAGUAUUGUAGUAAUCUGACAGCCCCAAUUGCCACGAAUUAACCCCUGGUCUAAAUGGCCGCUUUUGAAAAUACUGAUCAUGAAGAACCGCACUGCCUUAGGGGCGGACCAUUAGAAAAGUGAUGGGAGGGGGGGGGAACAAAAAUAAAAUUCGAGCAGGGAAAAUAGAAAGAAAAAAAAAUUCGUGCACCAGAAAUGUCUGAAAAAAAAAAAUUCGUGCAGAGACUUUUCAAUGGGGAAAAUUACAGGGCCUAUUGGAGGUACAGUGUAAGGGUGUCCCCGAAAUUUCGAAAAUAAGCAUUUUAAUCGUGUUUUAAGAAGUUUUUUCGGGGGAAAUGUGUUUUAAACCUUAAUUGAAUUGAUGUUAGUCCGAAAAAAAUUUUUUGACCCUAUUUUUCUUUGUCGUGCAAAAAUUUUUGAGUCCGGAAAAAAAAUUUUCACCGCCGCUCGCCAGCAAUUUUUGGGGGAAAAAAUAAAAUUCGAGCAAGGGAUUAUUAAAAAAAAACAAAAAAAAAACGGACACAGCAAAACACUUUGAAAAAAAAAUCGUGCACGUUUAAAAUGGACCACCCCCCUCCCCCCCAUCACUUUUCUAAUGGUCCGCCCCUUAAUUAAAUGCAAACUUUGUGUUUUAAAAACGGGUUAGGAUAAAACGCGGAUACGGACGGACGGAUGAAUGACGGACGGACCGGACGGAUGACAUACAUAUGUCGUUAUAUAGUCUGCGCGCAGCCGUGCAGGGUAGUUAGUGCCUUACGUCUUCGCUGGUUGUUAUACUUUAAAAUAAUUUUGUAUGUACCGAGAAAUCAAUAUUCCGAGUAUAUAAAUAUAUAAACUGGGAUGUCACACUGAUAGCUUGUUUACAUUUCCUGGAGCAACAUGAAAUCUUAUGUUUAACCACGGUGGUUUAACCCAUUAGCUGGCAAUGCGCCCUUCCCUUGUCGAGCGCCAGAAGAUUUACUCGUCAGUGGUAUAGGGUACUGCCAGUAAAUUGGUUAACAAACCUAUCUGCCAAUGGCUCUUGUUAAUUCAUCAGCACAGUAAUGACCCCUACUUUAGUAUUUACCCUGUCCAACGUCAGACGAUUUUUAAUACUCAGUCAGUGGUAGGGUACUGUCAAUAAAUGGGUUAACAAGGAUAACAAUAAUUAGCCUGCAUGGCAGGCGGUAUUUCCCAGGCUUGCCCAAUUUUAGGGACCGCCUGCCAUGCAGGCUAAACAAUAAUAGGAUGUUUCUGAAGGACUCGUUCAACACCCUGUAGUUUGUCUUUUGCUGUCAAAGGCAGCAUUACUGCCCUGUGGGUAACCUAGUAUAAAUUUAGUUAUUUCAUAAGUAGGAGUGUAAAGCGAAUUCAACUUUUACGUGCGUGUACGCACGUAUGAAAAACGCGUAACUGGAAUGCAGCCUUAAGGCUGAUUUCCACUGUUGCGUUUUUCGUACGCACGUACACGCACGUGAAACUUUGAAUCCUUCUAUUUUUUAAAUAUUUUACAAAUAAGUUAACAAAUGCAUACUAAAACUUGCGGAACACUAAAUUCUGUUGCUUUAUUUAUUUGGUUAUUUCAUAAGUAACAUUUAAACGGAUUUAAAGUUUUACGUGCGUAUACGUACGUAUGAAAAACGCAACAGUGGAAAUCAGCCUUUAGUGCCGGUUAAAUUAGGG
This is a non-coding RNA of Paramuricea clavata, 2178 nucleotides long. The record is from the annotation of a GenBank genome assembly. NCBI's taxonomy places the organism in Eukaryota, Metazoa, Cnidaria, Anthozoa, Malacalcyonacea, Plexauridae.